This is a non-coding RNA of Lasiosphaeris hirsuta, 94 nucleotides long. The record is from the annotation of a GenBank genome assembly. NCBI's taxonomy places the organism in Eukaryota, Fungi, Ascomycota, Sordariomycetes, Sordariales, Lasiosphaeriaceae.
GGGCCGCUGGUCUAGUGGCAUGAUUCCGCUUAAUAGGGUUACACCCUACAGCAGUGUUUGCGAUAGGUCUCGGGCUCAAGUCCCGGGUGGCCCC